This is a non-coding RNA of Pelobates cultripes (western spadefoot toad), 250 nucleotides long. NCBI's taxonomy places the organism in Eukaryota, Metazoa, Chordata, Amphibia, Anura, Pelobatidae. The record is from the annotation of a GenBank genome assembly.
GAGCCGUUAGCCACUCUGUUUUGGGAAUUUGGAGUCCCAAGUCCUUCUCCCACAGAUUCAUGUAUGUAGUUUUAUGAUUGUCGGGGGCUGCCGAAGUGAUUAGUGCGUUGUAACAUGCUGAAAGCGGUUUGAUUUGUUUGUGGAGAAGUGCCUGUUUAAGCGUUAUGUGGGGUUUGGGGGAAUGAGUAGUGCAGAGUUGAAUGUGCGAGUGCACUAUGUUUUUUAUUCGAAGGUAUUGGAAGAUAUCUCU